This 480-nucleotide ribosomal RNA is filed under the name uncultured bacterium. RNAcentral describes it as "bacterial SSU rRNA". It matches the Rfam family "Bacterial small subunit ribosomal RNA", at positions 35 to 507 of the family's 1533-position model. The record is from RNAcentral.
GCUGGCGGCGCGCCUAACACAUGCAAGUCGAACGAGAGAUGAAGAGCUUGGCUCUUCAGAUCGAGUGGCGAACGGGUGAGUAACGCGUGAGGAACCUGCCUCAAAGAGGGGGACAACAGUUGGAAACGACUGCUAAUACCGCAUAAGCCCACAGCUCGGCAUCGAGCAGAGGGAAAAGGAGCAAUCCGCUUUGAGAUGGCCUCGCGUCCGAUUAGGCAGUUGGCGGGGUAACGGCCCACCAAACCGACGAUGGAUAGGGGUUCUGAGAGGAAGGUCCCCCACAUUGGUACUGAGACACGGACCAAACUCCUACGGGAGGCAGCAGUGAGGAAUAUUGGUCAAUGGGCGAGAGCCUGAACCAGCCAAGUAGCGUGAAGGAUGACUGCCCUAUGGGUUGUAAACUUCUUUUAUAAAGGAAUAAAGUCGGGUAUGCAUACCCGUUUGCAUGUACUUUAUGAAUAAGGAUCGGCUAACUCCGUG